RNAcentral lists this non-coding RNA (46 nucleotides) under Schistosoma mattheei. Lineage: Eukaryota; Metazoa; Platyhelminthes; Trematoda; Strigeidida; Schistosomatidae. The record is from RNAcentral.
GCACUGCUGAAGAGUCCCAAAGUAGGACGAAACGGCCUUUCAGUGC